AAGAAAGAAGCAGAAAUGGUUAUGCGACUGGCUUGAAACCAGAAUGAGGGGGUUCGAUUCCUUCCUUUCUCG
RNAcentral lists this transfer RNA (72 nucleotides) under Paracheirodon innesi (neon tetra). RNAcentral's name for it is "tRNA-Ser (UCN)". It matches the Rfam family "tRNA". From Rfam's summary of the family: Transfer RNA (tRNA) molecules are approximately 80 nucleotides in length. Their secondary structure includes four short double-helical elements and three loops (D, anti-codon, and T loops). The record is from RNAcentral. Lineage: Eukaryota; Metazoa; Chordata; Actinopteri; Characiformes; Acestrorhamphidae.